Long non-coding RNA from Capsicum annuum, 1643 nucleotides. RefSeq lists it as uncharacterized. The record is from RefSeq and is a predicted model, not a curated record. The transcript has 5 exons. NCBI's taxonomy places the organism in Eukaryota, Viridiplantae, Streptophyta, Magnoliopsida, Solanales, Solanaceae.
AUUACAGAGCUGGAUUUGUUCCUUCUGCUGGUAGUGUUGCUGCGUUGUCGAUGUGACUUCGCAAGAUUCUCAAGAUUUCAUUAGAAUUGCAAAAGGAUCCUGCACAUGCUUUGUGGAGACAUGAAAUAGAGAGUAUGGUGAAGCAGACAUUUGAGGAGACUCGUGAUGCCAUACCGCCAGAUGGACCAUUUGUGACGCUGAAUCAUUCUAUUAUAAUGUAAAUGCUCGGGAAUAUGGCGAAGGCUGAGGUAGAGGGCGAGGAUGUGGUCAUCCUCUUCAAUGUAAUUGUACAUGAAUUAUUUAAUGAGCCAUCACCGUCUACUCCUGUCAUUCUAGCUGAGGCCAUUCUAGACAUGGCCGGACCCUAUAGCAUGAGGCCAAUGGAACUACCAUCUCGUCCUACAGACGGGAGACCUAGGUGAGAUAUGGAGGCAGUUCGUCUGAGUUAUGGAUCAGCCAUUGACGAUGGUUAUAUACCAGAUAUGCCGGGCCCCUCUGGUACACAAAAUGUCGGGCAAACAUUCACGCAACAUACUGCUUUUGCCGAUAAAACUAAUUCUCUAUUUGGUAAUACCAACGAGAUAUUUGAUGUGUGGACGUCUGGUCGUAGCUUGGAGUCAUUGCUGGGUUAUGAUAGGCCGACAUCCAGUGGCUUUCACAUUGAGACAUAUCUUAACUUAAUUUUGUAGUUUAAACUUCUUUGUUUUAUAUAUAUUCUUUAUAAUAUAUACUUAACUUUUUGUUAAUUUUGUUAUUAGCUUGAUAGUAUGUCUUUUCCUGCCUCCAUUUGCCAAGCCGGAGAAAUACGCCAGGGUGAUAUCCUCCCCACAUAGGUCAGACCUCACAAUGACACGCAGCUUCAAAGUUUUUUUCCUAUUUCCUUUGCGGACUUGCAUGGUUUGACAAGUCAGAGUGCUAUGCUGCCGGCAUCGAUUGGAGGUCCCUUAAACACACAGAUUGACGGUUCUUCUUCAGUAGUCCCAUCUUUGGACGAAGACGAUUUCAUUACAAUAGAUGCACACAUGGCUCACCCACCUGGGCCCAAAGUGCCUGUUAUGAGGGCCAAAAAGAAACGGAAGGAAAUUCUUCCAACUAAGACGAGGAAGGAUGGCGAUGGAUUUUGGCCUUUGGAUGCUCUACGCAAGCCAAAGGGCUGCGGAAUAUAGUAUACUUCCGUAGGUACUCUAUUUUUCUGGAUAAGAAGUCAUUGCAACUGGGGCCUGAUGAUCAUUUACAUGUGGAGGGAUUUGCGUUGAAUGUCUUUGCAAAGGCAGACAAAGAAGAUCGAGCUGGGCGAGCAAGACUUGUAUGGAUUUUGUCAAUUGAGUGACAUACAACUUCUACUUUGCAUUCUUAUCGUUCUUCUUAUAUGGAAAGCUUUGAAAGGAGGAAGGAAACCUGUACCAGAUGAGAGCCAUUCAACCAUUGAUGAGAAACUUGGAGUGUAAAGUAAGCCCGAGGAUUGUAUGAUACUUCAGUUUGAUUGGCUUAAUGAAGCAAUAUAUCUUCGGGAAUAUAAUUUCCCUCUGUUGAAGUAAGAAAAAAGUCUCACAAUGGUGAUUAAUAAACAAUAUGUACAAUAUAUAUUGUAAAGUCCAUAUAAAUUAAACCUAAUGAAGAUUUUAUGUCUGUUUAGUACUUUA